This 253-nucleotide ribosomal RNA is filed under the name uncultured bacterium. Its description in RNAcentral is "partial 16S ribosomal RNA". It matches the Rfam family "Bacterial small subunit ribosomal RNA", at positions 524 to 776 of the family's 1533-position model. The record is from RNAcentral.
UACGUAGGGCGCAAGCGUUGUCCGGAAUUAUUGGGCGUAAAGAGCUCGUAGGUGGCUUGUCACGUCGGGUGUGAAAGCUUGGGGCUUAACUCCAGGUCUGCAUUCGAUACGGGCUGGCUAGAGAUAGGUAGGGGAGAACGGAAUUCCUGGUGUAGCGGUGAAAUGCGCAGAUAUCAGGAGGAACACCGGUGGCGAAGGCGGUUCUCUGGGCCUUACCUGACGCUGAGGAGCGAAAGCGUGGGGAGCGAACAGG